Molecule: ribosomal RNA, 253 nt
Filed under: uncultured bacterium
Lineage: Bacteria
Description: partial 16S ribosomal RNA
Rfam family: Bacterial small subunit ribosomal RNA
Source: RNAcentral
UACGUAGGGAGCAAGCGUUGUCCGGAAUCAUUGGGCGUAAAGCGCGCGUAGGUGGCUUCGUAAGUCCGUUGUGAAAGUCAAAGGCUCAACCUUUGAAAGCCGAUGGAUACUGUGAAGCUAGAGUACGGAAGAGGCGAGUGGAAUUCCUGGUGUAGCGGUGGAAUGCGCAGAUAUCAGGAGGAACACCAAUGGCGAAGGCAGCUCACUGGGACGGUACUGACGCUGAGACGCGAAAGCGUGGGGAGCAAACAGG